GGCGGUUCUCAGGUGAUGCACCCCAGAAUUGGGCUCCCUCCUCUCUGGUUCUGGGUGUGUCACCCAAGAACCUCA
Molecule: non-coding RNA, 75 nt
Organism: Myotis davidii
Lineage: Eukaryota; Metazoa; Chordata; Mammalia; Chiroptera; Vespertilionidae
Source: Rfam